Molecule: ribosomal RNA, 407 nt
Filed under: uncultured bacterium
Lineage: Bacteria
Description: partial 16S ribosomal RNA
Rfam family: Bacterial small subunit ribosomal RNA
Source: RNAcentral
AUCGAACGCUGGCGGCAGGCCUAACACAUGCAAGUCGAGCGGAGCGGCGGAAGGGUGAGUAAUGCCUAGGAAUCUGACUGGUAGUGGGGGAUAACGUACGGAAACGGGCGCUAAUACCGCAUACUAUCAGAUGAGCCUAGGUCGGAUUGGCUAGUUGGUGGGGUAAAGGCCUACCAAGUCGACGAUCCGGAACUGGUCUGAGGGGAUGAUCAGUCACACUGGAACUUAGACACGGUCCAGACUCCUACGGGAGGCAGCAGUGGGGAAGAUUGGACAAUGGGCGAAAGCCUGAUCAAGCCAUGCCGCGAGUGUGAUGAAGGUCUUCGGAUUGUAAAGCUCUAUAAUUUGGGAGGCGUUACCAAAAGAAUAAGCACCGGCUAACUACGUGCCAGCAGCCGCGGUAAUUC